GAUGAACGCUAGCUACAGGCUUAACACAUGCAAGUCGAGGGGCAGCAUGAACUUAGCUUGCUAAGUUUGAUGGCGACCGGCGCACGGGUGAGUAACACGUAUCCAACCUGCCGAUGACUCGGGGAUAGCCUUUCGAAAGAAAGAUUAAUACCCGAUGGCAUAGUUCUUCCGCAUGGUAGAACUAUUAAAGAAUUUCGGUCAUCGAUGGGGAUGCGUUCCAUUAGGUUGUUGGCGGGGUAACGGCCCACCAAGCCUUCGAUGGAUAGGGGUUCUGAGAGGAAGGUCCCCCACAUUGGAACUGAGACACGGUCCAAACUCCUACGGGAGGCAGCAGUGAGGAAUAUUGGUCAAUGGACGAGAGUCUGAACCAGCCAAGUAGCGUGAAGGAUGACUGCCCUAUGGGGUGUAAACUUCUUUUAUACGGGAAUAAAGUGAGGCACGUGUGCCUUUUUGUAUGUACCGUAUGAAUAAGGAUCGGCUAACUCCGU
This 488-nucleotide ribosomal RNA is filed under the name uncultured bacterium. RNAcentral's name for it is "partial 16S ribosomal RNA". It matches the Rfam family "Bacterial small subunit ribosomal RNA", at positions 28 to 506 of the family's 1533-position model. The record is from RNAcentral.